AUUGAACGCUGGCGGCAGGCCUAACACAUGCAAGUCGAACGGUAACAGGAAGAAGCUUGCUUCUUUGCUGACGCGUGGCGGACGGGUGAGUAAUGUCUGGGAAACUGCCUGAUGGAGGGGGAUAACUACUGGAAACGGUAGCUAAUACCGCAUAACGUCGCAAGACCAAAGAGGGGGACCUUCGGGCCUCUUGCCAUCGGCUGUGCCCAGAUGGGAUUAGCUAGUAGGUGGGGUAACGGCUCACCUAGGCGACGAUCCCUAGCUGGUCUGAGAGGAUGACCAGCCACACUGGAACUGAGACACGGUCCAGACUCCUACGGGAGGCAGCAGUGGGGAAUAUUGCACAAUGGGCGCAAGCCUGAUGCAGCCAUGCCGCGUGUAUGAAGAAGGCCUUCGGGUUGUAAAGUACUUUCAGCGGGGAGGAAGGGAGUAAAGUUAAUACCUUUACUCAUUGACGUUACCCGCAGAAGAAGCACCGGCUAACUCCGUG
RNAcentral lists this ribosomal RNA (490 nucleotides) under uncultured bacterium. RNAcentral's name for it is "partial 16S ribosomal RNA". It matches the Rfam family "Bacterial small subunit ribosomal RNA", at positions 30 to 507 of the family's 1533-position model. The record is from RNAcentral.